RNAcentral lists this transfer RNA (75 nucleotides) under Nocardia farcinica. Its description in RNAcentral is "tRNA-Leu". It matches the Rfam family "tRNA". From Rfam's summary of the family: Transfer RNA (tRNA) molecules are approximately 80 nucleotides in length. Their secondary structure includes four short double-helical elements and three loops (D, anti-codon, and T loops). The record is from RNAcentral. RNAcentral also lists the same sequence under 1 other name. Lineage: Bacteria; Bacillati; Actinomycetota; Actinomycetes; Mycobacteriales; Nocardiaceae.
GCCCCUAUAGCCCAAUUGGCAGAGGCAGCGGACUUAAAAUCCGUUCAGUCUGGGUUCGAGUCCCAGUGGGGGCAC